CCUACGGGUCGCAGCAGUGGGGAAUAUUGGACAAUGGGCGGAAGCCUGAUCCAGCCAUGCCGCGUGUGUGAAGAAGGCCUUCGGGUUGUAAAGCACUUUCAGUGGGGAAGAAAGCCUUGGGGCUAAUACCCUCGAGGAAGGACAUCACCCACAGAAGAAGCACCGGCUAACUCCGUGCCAGCAGCCGCGGUAAUACGGAGGGUGCGAGCGUUAAUCGGAAUUACUGGGCGUAAAGCGCGCGUAGGCGGUCUGAUAAGCCGGUUGUGAAAGCCCCGGGCUCAACCUGGGAACGGCAUCCGGAACUGUCAGGCUAGAGUGCAGGAGAGGAAGGUAGAAUUCCCGGUGUAGCGGUGAAAUGCGUAGAGAUCGGGAGGAAUACCAGUGGCGAAGGCGGCCUUCUGGACUGACACUGACGCUGAGGUGCGAAAGCGUGGGUAGCAAACAGGAUUAGAUACCCUAGUAGUC
RNAcentral lists this ribosomal RNA (465 nucleotides) under Vreelandella stevensii. RNAcentral describes it as "partial 16S ribosomal RNA". It matches the Rfam family "Bacterial small subunit ribosomal RNA", at positions 338 to 795 of the family's 1533-position model. The record is from RNAcentral. Lineage: Bacteria; Pseudomonadati; Pseudomonadota; Gammaproteobacteria; Oceanospirillales; Halomonadaceae.